UUUUAAAUCUGUCUUCCUUGCUAGACAGUAACCUUUGUUAGGGCAGGGACUAUGUUUUCCUCACUCCUUCAUCCCUAGCAAGGACUAUACUCCUAGAAAGUACUAAGUAUAUAGCAGGUGCUCAAUAAAUACCUGUUAAAUGAAUGAAUGAAUGGAUCAGGAUUGUGCGUGGUUAAGACAGUGGGCUUAGAGAUCUUGCUUUGAAUCCUGGGUUUAACAGUUAUUACUAUGUAAUCCUAGACCCAUCAUUCAGCUUCUCAAUACCUCCAUUUCCUUAGGUGUGACAUGGAAACGCUCCCUUGGGAUUGCUGGAUCAGGUGAGCAAACGCAGGUCAGGUAUCCAUCACAGGGUCUGUGUGCAGUGAGGCCUCAGCCAUUUUUCCUAAGCCAGAGCUUCUUCCAACAUCAUAUGCUGCCUGGAAAUUCUGAUGAAGGAACCGAAGAAUCUUCAAGGCGGAGGUAAUUUGAGCUGGGCCCUGAAGGAGGAGUAAGAUUCCAGCUUAUGUGGCCAGGGCCAGAUUUCUUUCCUGAGUUCAUCCAACUACAAAAUGGAGAUGAUGACACCCAGUUUCUGUCUCCCUCUGGGAGCGCUGGUCUGGCUUAAAGUCUCUCAAGAGGAAAAACAUCAUACAAUUAAAAGGCACCAUCGUUAUUCAACUGGAAAAGUGCCUUCCCGGGACAAGUGAUUCUGCUUGUGCUGUGUAUGAUUGGAUAUUUAGUGUGAAUUUAACCCAGGGUGUCAACUGUGCUGUCAGUUAGAGCUAAGUGUAAUGGGGCACUUAGUAAAUGUGGAGGUAAUUAAAGCCAUCCAGAUGCUGGAUGUGGGUGAGCUUUGUGCUGCCUCUGGGACUGAAAUGCUUUAGAGAGAUGAAGUUCUGGAGUCUCUUUUUGGGGUGCACUGGGAGUGUAAGUCCCGGCGUUGGCCUUUGCUGCUGCUGUACCCUUCUGCUGGAGACUGAAAGCCACCUAUUCUGGGAAGCCUUCCCUGAUCACCAAGACAGAAUCUGAUGUUCUGGGUUUUCCUGGCACCGCACACACUUCUCACAAUAUCCUAUUAUCUUAGUUUGUUUCUAUGCCCAUCUCCCCCAACUGGAGUCCAAGAUAUUGUCCCUAGGAUUUUUCUGACAUACAGUUAGUGCUCAAUAAGUGUCUGCUGAAUGAAGCUUUUCAGGUUUCACAACCAUGGGAAAUCUUGGGUCUCAAGAACAGAUCAAGGUGUUUGAUUUUCCUGGGAAGGGUAGACCCUGUGUAGUUCUGGCAAGUGAUCCCUCUUCUGAUGGAAAUUCUGUUUGAUGCCCUCCCUAGUGAGGCCAGGGUGGCAACGUGAGCCUAUCCUCCUUUGCAGCAGACCUGAGCCCUGUAGAUUUACAGAUAUCUGAGUGUGGAAUCCAGCCCUGAGUCCACACCUUGUAGAAAGCAGGAGGAGAGCAGGCCUUGAACAACUGAAGUUGCUUAUCUGCUAUGAGCCUCCUGGAGGCCCAAAUAAAGAAUCCAGAAUGUGGCGAGUCUCCACUGCUGCCUGGGCCCUGUUGCCUCUAAGAUGAACUUAUCGCUGACCUUUCUGGCACAUGGAGAAUGUCCCCACUGCCCGGAGAAGAGAGGCCUCUCCUUGUGGUCCUGCAUUCUGGACUCAGUGGGAUCCACCGCACUCAGCAUUCUUGGCUUCAUGCUGGAGCUGAGCGUAAGGUGAGAAGGAGUUGCUGGGAACACUGUGAUACCUGGCUCAGGCAGGAACCACCCAAGUCAGGCAUGAUCAGAUCUUGGACUGACAGCCACCUGCUCUGAACAAGGCCCUGGACUCUGGACUUACCACUGUCUCUGACCAACCCUUCCAGCUGGCCUUUCUACCUCCAGAUUCGGAGUCUGGAGUCAGGCUUCUGGCUGGUCAUGGUUAGGUCCAGUGUCCAUGCUCCAGCAGGAAUUGAGGGGAGCGUGUCCCUCCCAUUCGUCUGCCAUUAUCUCCCUGCUUCUUGGGAUUCCCACAAAUGGGGUCUCAGAUGCUGGGCAGCCCAAGUGACAAAU
This 2022-nucleotide long non-coding RNA is filed under the name Homo sapiens (human). RNAcentral describes it as "HSALNT0266813". The record is from RNAcentral. Lineage: Eukaryota; Metazoa; Chordata; Mammalia; Primates; Hominidae.